RNAcentral lists this long non-coding RNA (680 nucleotides) under Monodelphis domestica (gray short-tailed opossum). Its description in RNAcentral is "lncRNA (ENSMODG00000040395.1)". Lineage: Eukaryota; Metazoa; Chordata; Mammalia; Didelphimorphia; Didelphidae. The record is from RNAcentral.
CCUUUUUCCACCAGGAACUAUUAGCCCAGAAGGAUGCCAAAGUAGUCAGUCUUUCCCUGCCAGAGUUGCAGUGAACAUAGAUGAUGGUAGUAGGAACCAACUUAAGAGCCCUAUCCAGGGUCAACUUACCUAUCAGUCCUAAAGAGCUCCAGACACCCAUGAAGCCCUAAAUUCAGGAUAGAUAGGAUUUCCUUCCUCAAGGAAUUCUGGUCCCAUAGUAUUGAGAGAGGGCUAUCAUGAACAACUUCAGUGAUCACCCAAGUAUCUGUGUGUGGUGCUGGGGUCUAGAAGGAGAUGGUGGCCUGGUUCCUGGCUGGUUGAGUCAUUAACAGACAGGAAAAUAUGAAUAUCACGGGAUCACCAUCUUGGUUCCAAUGAAGACUAGAAGUGGGGAGGAAGAAAAGACCCAAAGGAGACUCUUUGCUAAUAGCCAAGAAGUGACCCUCCAAGUCAUUUACAGAAAAAUCAAGGAAAUAAAAAUAGAAAAAGAGCUGUACCAUAUGGCAAAUUGUGUAUUCCUAGAGAGGGAGAAAUCAGCAAGACUAUACAUUGAAAAUGCCCCAAAACAUGUGCAAUGUGUGCCACCUGGGGACUUCUAACCUCCACAAAGGGGUUUUAAGAGAUGGAAGAAAAGAAAAGGAAACAGGAAUACUUCAGAGAAGCAGUGAAACAUAAGUGGG